CAAACGUAUAAACGAAUGAAACCAAAAAGAAGUAGUAGGGACAUCAACAGUACACAAUUCAAAGAGAGAGCAGCGGCAGCUAAUCACGCCAGCGUUCACUCUCACUUCCGGCAGCCAUCUUGAAAACAGAACAAUCAAAACACAUUUUUGCAGGUCGUAUCUCCGGUUGCUCUGCGGCCGAACAUCAUGGAAUUGGAGGCCUUGCUCGGAACUGACUUUGAACCCCACUGUGGGGCAUGGACUUACCAUCCAAGCCAAUUCCUUGCCUGGGAUCGACGCUCCAACCGCGGCCUGCGGACUUUAACAUCGGGAGCUCGCAGUCUUGGGUUGAGAUCGAGUCGGGAGCUCCAAAGUCGCAGAAGGUUUUUGACCAGUCCCGACCCGGGGCCAGAUCACCCGGCGCGGGGAGCUGACAUUCCCCUAGUGCAGGAGCUUGAUCGCCCCGACGCGGAGGGCCCAAACGCUACCGGCUACUGGUCAAGAUCGUCCCGUCAACGGAAGGCUCGAGGCCCCCGACCGCGGGAGAACAAUGAAGGGAAGAGAUUUAACUUUUUUUUGCCUUCCAUCACAGUGAGGAAUGUGGAGGAGUCACUGUGGUGGAUGUUUAUGUUAAAAUAUAUUUUGUGUGUUCUGUUGCUUUUUAUUUGUAUGACUCUUUGGCAAAUCAAAUGUCUAGUAUGUUGCAAAACAUGCUUGGCUAAUAAAGAAUGAUUAUGAUGAUUAUGAAAGUAAAUGAAUGCUGUUCUUUAUUACAGGAAGGUUGGAAGAGAAUCAAGAUAGCAAGCUUUGGGAACAUCAUCACUGGUGUGAUGCAUACAGUUCACAUUUGGAAUAGACUCGUAUUCUAGGGAGAGUGGGUAUGAUUUAUUUGCAAUUUAAACAAUUCUCGCAGACAUUGCAGAGUGAAUAUCGGGAGGGGGUUUGUCCUGCUUGUUGAAUCAAAAACUAGGCACCAUAAAUUUGAAAUUCAGUCUCACCCUUUUUUAGCAAACUGUUGCAAUAACUAGUCACAUUAAUUUCAUUGUUAUAUUGCAAUUUCAAUGCCUCAUAACUCUACUUGUUGACUCUUGGCAGACCAAUUUCCUUCUGGGAUCAAUGAAGUCAUAUCAUAAACACAUACUACUACACGUUGUGAGAUACUUAUGAAACUGAUUUCCAAUGAUUUCAUGUUACAAAGUCUUCCAUUUAUUUAACGCUACCACUUGGAAAGCCAUCAUCAGGAUUCUCCUCAAUUUCCUCCUUGCAGUGGUCAAUACGAUGUUCCCAAAUCACCAUGUGAUUCAGUCCACAAAGAAGCACAGUGGGCAAACUCUUCAUUCAACAAUAAGUCCAAAGAGAUAAAAGAUAAGCAGGAACUUAGCAGCAUCAAAGACAGUACUAUGUGGAAUAUGUUGGCCUUACUAAAACCUUCGACUCCUUGAAUUAGCAAAGGUUUUAGAGCAUCUUUCUCACAUUUAGCUAACAGCAAGAAUUAAUCUCUAUUGUUUGACUACAACAUGGCAAACUCAAAUUGUGAUCUUAACCAUGAAGUCCACAACAGAGCCCAUCUCAUUACAGUAUGGUGUUAAGCAGUUAUAGUACAUCAUCACUUCAAAACUAUCUUCAAUCUGGACGAGGGUUGGUCAAGAUUAUAAAUAAUGAUCUCCUUUUCUUUUUUAUUUUAUUUUAUUUUCUCUAUUUUCUCUCUCAAUUUUCUUCAUUUACUCGUUUUCUUUCUUCACACACUAUAUAUUUCACAUCUUUCUAUCCUUUACUAUCUAACUUCUUUUUCUUAUUCUCAUCUUUUUUCAAUGUAACAAAAAAAAAAGAAGUUGUACAUAAAAUGUAUUAUGAAAAUAUAUAUUAGGCA
Long non-coding RNA from Leucoraja erinaceus (little skate), 1849 nucleotides. RefSeq lists it as uncharacterized. The record is from RefSeq and is a predicted model, not a curated record. Lineage: Eukaryota; Metazoa; Chordata; Chondrichthyes; Rajiformes; Rajidae. The transcript has 2 exons.